GCCAGGCCCUCAGGACCUGGUCUUGGAACAGAGGAAGAGGCAGCAGCAGCCGAUCCGGCCUCCCGUGGCCCAGAUGGAGCUUCCCCCCAAGACUGGAAAUGGAGGGGGCAAUACUGGCAGACAUGGGCAGCCCAGGAGGUGCCUGCCAGCAAGGGCCCCAGGGAGGCACGCAGAGCAGACAGCGGAGCCCAGGGGUCCUGUCGCGGCUGUACCCCACCCUCACCCCAACCCCAUCCCUUCCCACUGUCCACCACACAGGCAGCUCUGAGGCACAGGGGCCUAGGCCCAAAGGCCCCCACACCGGGGACAUGGUACCCCGGGCACGGCCAGCCUGCAGCUGGCAACUCGCACGUUUGGGCUCUGCUUGGUGACCUUGUGCCUCCAGCACACGGAUGGACCCGGCAAAGCCUGUCACCUCUAGCCAAGCCAGCCCACGGAUCUUCUGGACUCGAUGGGGACAGUUGUGCGAGACACCAGGGCUCAGAGGAUGCUGAAGAAGGCCCCAGGCACGCUGUCGCCAGGGGAAACCCCAUCAGUCUCCUGACCCUACUUCCUUGGGCUCAGACAUCCCCCAUCAAGCCUGGAAACCGCGCAGGCCCAGAAACCGUAGUCCAGAAGUUACCCCCAGGAAACCCACAGCCCCGGAGGCACUCUCUUUCAUAGGUGAGUGGUUCUUCCAUAGGUGAGUGGUUUACUGAGCCCCCCUAGUGGGAACAGCCUCAUGCCAGAGGCUCCCAGGAAAGUCUAAGACCUGGUCCUGUCUCCAGGAAGCUUACCGUCCAGCCCCAGAAAAGAGUGCUCACAAUGGACUUCUGUUCAAGAAUAAGGCAAGACAGGAUGUGACUAAGUGUGAGGUAUGAGUAACCGACAGUAAGUGCAAAGGGGGUUCAGAGACAUGCCAGCUCCAGGUUCACUUCGGAUGAAACUGGGCGGCUUGUUUGUUGAGAACAGAUACCUCAGGAAGUGGAGAAGGCUUGGGUGAACCGUCGGCCUCCAAGUUCUCCCACAGGUGACUGUUCCGUUCUAAGUCACACCUUGCACAGGGGUUCUUCCUGUCUUCCACCAACAAACAUCUAACUUAGUUAUGUUUGAUUGCUGCCGUUGGCUUGGUCCAUCAAGCAUUCAGUCAACAAAGACUUCACUGCGUUCAGCUCCAGGCCUAAACUAAGCUUAGCUAGGUAGAAAGAACCCAGUGAUAAUGCCCUGAGCGUGUCAAGGGGAAAAGGGGGCUAGCCUCCCUGUUUCACAGGGAGGAAAACUGGCCCAAGGCGAGUCAACAGGCGCGCAAAGCACCAAGGCAAGUUUGGCCAAGCUGAACGGAGACUCGGCCCAGCUUCUAAACUCUGCUACCCCCUUGAUGAACUAGAUCGAAACACAGUCUGCGGCUCUUGCCGUGAGCUACGUAAACGUCACUCUGCCAGAGAACAGAACUGAAGGGCCAACUCUCACUCCUGGAGACCUGAUUCCCAAAUCUACCUCUGUCACUAAAUUGCUUUAGUUUUCUUCCUGGGGGGAAAAAAAUGGAAAUAACUGUGUUUAGUCAAAGGGUAUUGUCGGUAUGAAAUUAGGCAGUGGACAGGAACUUGCUGUGUAAGCACCGUGUGCCGUGUAAGUGUGUGUUACAUUUCGCAGGCGGUAUCCUUCUCGAGCCUGUAGAGGUAGUUGGGUCUCCUCCUCAGCUUAUCCCAGGUUACUGGGUGCCCAGAAGCUAACUGUAAUUCUGACUCCUCCCCUCAGGCUGCACUGUGCUUACUCAUGGUCUUUCCCCUUUGGUUUCUUAAUGGCACAACCAGAUGCUUAGCUGGCUGCCUGGAAGCCAUAUCAUCAGUGGGGCAGGAAGCAAGCAAUUCUGGUGCCGUUUGAGCUCAGCCGAGGGGUUCUAGAGCCGUCUGAGCACUACCCAGCUCCUUGCACCUUUGCAGGACCCUGCAAGUUAGUUGUUCAGUAAGAGGAAAUGGGAUGAAGCCAGCGCGGGGAGGGGUUGGCUCCUUGGGACUGUUCUUCCCGGAAGCUAGCUGCGCCAAGGACAGACCGAGACAACCUGCCGAGCAGCAGAGUCUGGGUCCUGGUCCCGUUUUGAGCCAUACUGCUUCCGUUCCUUUUUCCUCCACCUCUCUUGACCUCUCUGGCUCUGUCUCCACAGUGGAGGAAGCAGGGCAAUCAGAGGGGCCUCAGGAGCAAAGGGAAGGAGCAGAGGAGCGAGGGGCACCAUGGAAUGGGCAGGUGCUUGUAGGCCGGGGAAGCCGUGGCCCGGGAGGCUCUUCCUUGGCAGGCAGUGGGUGUGGGUAGGAGGCCCGGAGCCGCUCGACAAAUGUGCCUCACAGGCUUCUGGCUCCUGUCCCUCACAUGUGCCACGUUAGCAUCCUGCCCACCAGGAGGAGGGCACAGCAAGAUGCCAUGUGAGGAAGAAAUAAACCCAAUCCAGCAUCUCAGACGCUGUUAAAAAUAGCAACUCUGGGAGGGUAAUUCAGCUCCUAUUUUUAUCAGAUUUAUAUGGCCGGACCAUAGCGCUGAGCUGUUCCCAGGGUUCUCAAUAGCAGGCAGGGGACAUCACUGUUGUAGUCUUAGAAACCUGCCGGUAGGCCAAGGCAUUCCAGGAACCUUUAGGCUGGAAGAGAUCCCAAGAAGUCAUUGCGUGCAGCCCUUGCCUCUGCUUGGGGCCACAAUCAAUGAACCACAGAUCAUUUAUGGCUGGCUUUUUUGCCUAAAAGUCGCUUGGUGUCUGUGCCUCGACUGCAUAAUCUAGGAUUUCACAGCCCUUCUAAUCAGGAAGUUCUUUUUAAUAUCUAGCCCAAAUAUCUCUGGUUACGUCCUUUUCGGUUCUUCUCACAGCAGAAAAAUAGCUAAUGUUUACCCAGUGACGACUACGUCCGCAAAAUGCUCUUCUUUAAUCCCCACAAAACCCCUCACGGUGGGCACUCUUAGCAUUCCUAAUUCGGGAGCAGUCCUGUAACUUGCCCACGAUCAUACCUGGGGAAUGGUGCGGAUUCUAUGCCGAAGCCAUCAGACCGAACUGCCUCCCAGAGAGCUGCCCCCUGAGCUUGGACUUUCAUUUCUUUUCUUUUUUUUUUUUUUUUUAAAGAUUUUAUUUAUUUAUUUGACAGAGAGAGAGACAGCUAGCGAGAGAGGACACAAGUAGGGGGAGUGGGAGAGGAAGAAGCAGGCUCAUAGCAGAGGAGCCUGAUGUGGGGCUCGAACCCAUAACGCCGGGAUCACGCCCUGAGCCGAAGGCAGACGCUUAACCGCUGUGCCACCCAGGCGCCCCUGGACUUUCAUUUCUUCAUCAUGGUCCUGAAAGACAGACCGGCCAGUGUUCUCAUUGCGCACGUAUGCGUCACGCUAGAAGCCUGGCUCCACAUCCCAGCGUGCUGACCCGUGGUCCCUCUGACUGCCAGGCCCCUGCUUGUGCAGGCCAUUUGGCUAUCAGAUGUAACCUAGACAUUUGCCUUCUCUUUGCAUAAGGUCUCAUAGCGCCCACGGCUUUUUUUGAAGGCAUCCACCACUCUUGUAAUUACUUUGUAAUUAACGCCUGUAUUCCUCACUAAAUCAUAAGCUCUGUGUGAGCUCUAUCUCCAGAUUCUUACUUAAAAAAGAAAAAAGUCCAGUAGAUGUGCAGAACGUGUGUAUUGAAUUGAAGCACUUUAAACCGAUUCAGUCCCUGCUUAUUUUGUAAGUGGUUAAAACAUGGUAACUUCAAGUUUGUGUAGAUUUCAGAAUCCAAUAUCAUUUCACUAAUAAUAGCACUAGAACAAACACAGGGUUGCCAACAUUUAUUUUGCUGAGUGAGGAUAUUUUAAAAACAACUACCGUCGGGGCGCCUGGGUGGCACAGUGGUUAAGCGUCUGCCUUCAGCUCAGGGCGUGAUCCCGGCGUUAUGGGAUCGAGCCCCACAUCAGGCUCUUCCGCUAUGAGCCUGCUUCUUCCUCUCCCACUCCCCCUGCUUGUGUUCCCUCUCUCGCUAGCUGUCUCUAUCUCUGUCGAAUAAAUAAAUAAAAUCUUUAAAAAAAAAAAACAACAAAACAACUACCGUCAAUUACUACCAUCUUCUUUAAAAAAGGACAUUUUAACAUCGUAUAUACAUGGUGUUUCUGUCCUUUCUGAGAAGGCAAAGUUGGCAGUCCUGCAUCAGUCUAUUCAAAAAGAAAAGAGAUAUACUGUUCUGGAUAUGGAAGUAUUACAAGAGAACCAAUUUCAAUUUCAAAUAUUACUUUGUAUGUAAAUGUUUCUCUGUUUCUUAGCACGGGGAUCCGUAUUCAACAGAGACUUGGAGAGUGGAGCUUACAAGUCCCACUGGUUCCCAAAUGUGAUUUUCCUCCGUUUCGCGAAGGAAUGUUGACAAAUCCAGGACACUCAGCAGUUUUGUUCUAUGAGGAAACUUUUGGGCAAAAUGAAAGGAGCCAAGGAACAAUAGCAGUCAUGCUUCCUUCCUCUGCCGAGGAGACAGUAGGCCAAGUACUGGGGGCUGACAGCCAGUUGUGGACACGUCCAGGAUUCUUCUGGGAAGGGUGACAUCUCUCACUGCUCCAGCAGAGCAGGGACACAGGCACGCAAACACAGAAGUGUUCUUUGCAGCACACAGGACAGAGGUAUCAUGCUGCCAGAGAGGGGCUGGCGUUUGCUAGCUGGGGAAGGUGUGGUCGAGAGAUACUGGAUCUUGCUUAGGAAGCUUUCUCAGGGGAGGCAGGAUGUGGGGUUCUGCAAAGUGACAUCAAGAGGAAAGCUAGGGCACGGGUGCCUGGGUGGUGCAGUCAGUUGAGCGUCUGACUCUUGGUUUCCACUCAGGUCAUGAUCUCAGGGUGGUGAGAUCGAGCCCCGCGCUAGGCUCUGAACUCAGUGUGGAGUCUGUCUGGGAGUCGCUCCCCCCACUCCCUCUGCCCCUCCGCUCAUGCUCUCUCUCUUUCUCAUCUCUCUAAAAUAAGUAAAUACAAAUCUUUAAAAAAAUAAACAAAUAUGUUCAUAGCUGCAUUGUCCACAAUAGCCAAAUCAUGGAAGGAGCCGAGAUGCCCUUCAACAGAUGACUGGAUUAAGAAGCUGUGGUCCAUAUAUACAAUGGAAUAUUACUCAGCUAUCAGAAAGAACGAAUUCUCAACAUUUGCUGCAACAUGGACGGCACUGGAGGAGAUAAUGCUAAGUGAAAUAAGUCAAGCAGAGAAAGACAAUUAUCAUAUGAUUUCUCUCAUCUAUGGAACAUAAGAACUAGGAUGAUCGGUAGGGGAAGAAAGGGAUAAAGAAAAGGGGGGUAAUCAGAAGG
This is a long non-coding RNA of Ailuropoda melanoleuca (giant panda), 5251 nucleotides long. The record is from Ensembl. NCBI's taxonomy places the organism in Eukaryota, Metazoa, Chordata, Mammalia, Carnivora, Ursidae.